AUGAGCUGGCACCAACCGACAACCUGGGCCCCAACCUCCAACAAGAUCGAACAGCUGGGCGUGGGGGGAACGGACAAGCGUGGUGCUCUUCUGAGCCGAGUGUCCCAGGCCUCACAGCUGCAGGCAGCACUGCACAUCCCGGCUGCAACUGGAGAAAUCAAGGGCUGCCCUCUGGGGGUUGCAGGGUGGAGGGGGUAUUGGCAGCAUUCCAAAGGAGGGCCCACCCCAAACUCCACUGCUUCUCAUGUGGGGAUAAAAAAGUGUGUCCUCUACUGCUGCAAGGUUAACUCGAUGCUGGGGGCUUCACACCAGGGGCGGCAGUGAGGAAGGGCCUGCGCGUUCUCUGGAUGAAACAUUAGCUUGGCCGGUGGCGGGGCGCCCACAGCACACCCAGUCCACCCCCCUGGGGACAGAGGCCCCAAGCAGAGGUGUGGCUCCCAGUUGUCUGUUGACAUCAGUUGGCGUUACCAGGAGGCAGCCAUGUACACAGACGCCCUGUUACAGUGGAAUUUCAGGUCAACCGUGAUUAGUAGUUGAAUGUAAGAUUGUUCCACACUUCAUUGGGCAUCUUUUUUUUUUUUUUCCCCCUGAGACUUUUUGCCUAAAGCAGUGACCUCAAAAGCUGUCUAUACUGGCUUUCCUCUCCUUUUCUGUUUAUUUUCAGUCUGGUGUGCCCUGCCUUAAGGGCCCAGAUGGCACUGAUGGUGAAGAGCCCGCCUGCCAAUGCAGGAGACAUUAAGAGACAGGUUUGAUCCCUGGGCUGGGAGGAUGCUCUAGAGGAGGGAAUGGCAGCCCACCCCAGCAUCCUUGCCUAGAGAAUUCCACGCAGAGGGGAGCCUGGCAGGGGAUGGUCGCAAAGAGUAGGACAAGACGAAAGCAACUUAGCGCUGCCUUAGCAUCUCAAGUAUCAACUGGGCUGAUGACCCUGAUACAAAAGGGUAAAUAGGUCCCUAGCGGUGUGCAGGUCAGAGCUGGUGAUACUUGGGGGAGACGGGUGGGGGGAGGUGAGGGGACC
This 1015-nucleotide long non-coding RNA is filed under the name Capra hircus (goat). RNAcentral describes it as "lncRNA (ENSCHIG00010030507.1)". The record is from RNAcentral. Lineage: Eukaryota; Metazoa; Chordata; Mammalia; Artiodactyla; Bovidae.